Molecule: ribosomal RNA, 254 nt
Filed under: uncultured bacterium
Lineage: Bacteria
Description: partial 16S ribosomal RNA
Rfam family: Bacterial small subunit ribosomal RNA
Source: RNAcentral
GACAGAGGGUGCAAGCGUUGUUCGGAAUUAUUGGGCGUAAAGGGCGCGUAGGCGGCCUUGCAAGUCAGGUGUGAAAUCCCAGGGCUUAACCCUGGAACUGCAUCUGAUACUGCUUGGCUUGAAUCUCGGAGAGGGUGGUGGAAUUCCUGGUGUAGAGGUGAAAUUCGUAGAUAUCAGGAGGAACACCGGUGGCGAAGGCGACCACCUGGACGAACACUGACGCUGAGUGAGCGAAAGCCAGGGGAGCAAACGGG